AGAGUUUGAUCAUGGCUCAGAACGUACGCUGGCGGCACGCCUAACACAUGCAAGUCGAACGAAGUAGCAAUACUUAGUGGCAGACGGGUGAGUAACAUGUGGGUAUCUUCCCUUUGGCCUGGAAUAACACGAGGAAACUUGUGCUAAUACCGGAUAAGUCUUUACGGAGAAAGCUUUAUGCACCAUUGGAUGAGCCUGCACUUGAUUAGUUUGUUGGUAGGGUAAUGGCCUACCAAGACUGUGAUCAAUAGCUGAUUUGAGAGGAUGAUCAGCCACAUUGGGACUGAGACACGGCCCAAACUCCUACGGGAGGCAGCAGUGGGGAAUCUUGCACAAUGGAGGAAACUCUGAUGCAGCGAUGCCGCGUGAGUGAAGAAGGCCCUUGGGUUGUAAAGCUCUUUCGUCGGGGAAGAAAAUGACUGUACCCGAAUAAGAAGGUCCGGCUAACUUCGUGCCAGCAGCCGCGGUAAUACGAAGGGACCUAGCGUAGUUCGGAAUUACUGGGCCUAAAGAGUUCGUAGGUGGUUGAAAAAGGUGGUGGUGAAAUCCCAGAGCUUAACUCUGGAACUGCCAUCAAAACUUUUCAGCUAGAGUUUGAUAGAGGAAAGCAGAAUUUCUAGUGUAGAGGUGAAAUUCGUAGAUAUUAGAAAGAAUACCAAUUGCGAAGGCAGCUUUCUGGAUCAUUACUGACACUGAGGAACGAAAGCAUGGGUAGCGAAGAGGAUUAGAUACCCUCGUAGUCCAUGCCGUAAACGAUGUGUGUUAGACGUUGGAAAUUUAUUUUCAGUGUCGCAGCGAAAGCAAUAACACACCGCCUGGGGAGUACGACCGCAAGGUUAAAAC
This 843-nucleotide ribosomal RNA is filed under the name marine metagenome. RNAcentral describes it as "bacterial SSU rRNA". It matches the Rfam family "Bacterial small subunit ribosomal RNA", at positions 8 to 900 of the family's 1533-position model. The record is from RNAcentral.